GACGAACGCUGGCGGCGUGCUUAACACAUGCAAGUCGAACGGAAAGGCCCUGCUUUUGUGGGGUGCUCGAGUGGCGAACGGGUGAGUAACACGUGAGUAACCUGCCCUUGACUUUGGGAUAACUUCAGGAAACUGGGGCUACUACCGGAUAGGAGCUCCUGCUGCAUGGUGGGGGUUGGAAAGUUUCGGCGGUUGGGGUUGGACUCGCGGGUUAUCAGCUUGUUGGUGGGGUAGUGGCUUACCAAGGCUUUGACGGGUCGCCGGCCGGAGAGGGUGACCGGGCACAAUGGGACUGAGGUAGGGACCAGACGGCUACGGGGGGCAGCAGUGGGGAAUAUUGCACAAUGGGAGGAAGUGUGAGGCAGCGACGCCGGGUGCGGGAUGACGGCCUUCGGGUUGUAAACCGCUUUCGCCUGUGACGAAGCGGGAGUGACGGUAAUGGGUAAAGAAGCACCGGCUAACUACGUG
Molecule: ribosomal RNA, 468 nt
Filed under: uncultured bacterium
Lineage: Bacteria
Description: partial 16S ribosomal RNA
Rfam family: Bacterial small subunit ribosomal RNA
Source: RNAcentral